CUUGAAGUGGUGAUAUUUCCAGUGAAUUUCUCAUUUAUUAUUGUCUUUAUAAUCUGUACAGGUAAUGAGGAAAUUUGAAACAUAACAUAUAUACACCUGCCCUAUGUACCUCACAGGAUAAUUGUGAAGAUCAGCCAAGAAGAUGAGUAAAUGGUACAAACUUGACAAACUGUAAGACAAUUGAAAUACCAUAAAAAACACCAGGCUGGUCUGGUUAGGAGGAGAAAUCUUGCAUUCAAAUUGAACAAAACCCUGAGAUCCCAGGACAAGUAGGUUUGGCUGCUCCUCUCAUCUACCCUUGUGAUCUGGGCCAGAGAUCUGAAAACUAUGGCCCAGGGGCAAAAUCCUGUCCACACUCAGUUUUUGUAUGAUCUAUGAGCUGGAAAUACUUUUUAGAUUUUAAGUGGUUCAACGAAAAAAUAAGAGAUUUCAUGACCCAUGAAAAUUAUAUGAAAUUCAAUUUUCAGUGUACAUAAAUAAAGUUUCUUUUGGAACAGAGUAGCACCAAUUUACUUACUUAUCCAUGGAUGCUGCAUGCUAUGGCCGCAAAGUUGAGCGGUUGCCAUGAGACCAUAUUGCCCACAAAGCUUCAAAUACUGGCUAUCGUGGCCGUUUACUGAAACAAUCUUCUGACUCUUGAUCUAGGCAACUUCAGCUCUUCACAUCUUGUCUUGGCCUCAUGGGAACUUUAUUCUAGAGAAUUUUUUUCCCAGUUGAGCUUAAGUGGUUAGAAAUACUGCCUUUUCCUAGUAAUUAGGCUUUAAAAAAUGUUUUCAAAACAUUCCAGAACAUUGUAAACAGGUCUACAAUGCAAUGUUUGCUAACUCACAAAUAUGUGUUCUGGUAGGUGCUCAGUCGGCGAGACAGAGGACCUUCUUGGGCAUCAAGAUCUGCUCAAAGUUUGACCCCUCUGGGCUUCUGUUUCCUCAUUUAUCAUAAUGAGGAAAACUGGAUGAUUUCUGAGGCCCCAUUCUACGUUUCUACAAUGGCUUGUGUUAUUUUAAAGGCACCGAGUGAAGAAAUUGCAAGUCAUACAGUGGAAGUAUGCACAGAAAAGAUUUCAACCUCAAAUAAAAUCUGGCACUGAAGUUUCACUCUUCUCAUGGAACAAAUGUAUCAAGACUUGGUCAGAACUGAAGGCCAGAACACUUUCAAAAGUGAAGGGUUGCAAGCUAAGGAAUGGUAGCUGUACAAAAACCUACCCAAG
Sapajus apella (tufted capuchin) is the source of this 1207-nucleotide long non-coding RNA. RefSeq lists it as uncharacterized. The record is from RefSeq and is a predicted model, not a curated record. The transcript is spliced from 4 exons. NCBI's taxonomy places the organism in Eukaryota, Metazoa, Chordata, Mammalia, Primates, Cebidae.